This 1933-nucleotide long non-coding RNA is filed under the name Mus caroli (Ryukyu mouse). Its description in RNAcentral is "predicted gene 28229 (MGP_CAROLIEiJ_G0034628.1)". The record is from RNAcentral. Lineage: Eukaryota; Metazoa; Chordata; Mammalia; Rodentia; Muridae.
NNNNNNNNNNNNNNNNNNNNNNNNNNUCUUCAGUCAGAUUCACUUAAAUUAUUGCUGAUGACCUAUUUUCUGGCAGUUCAUGUGUUAAACCCUAUUCAUUUUGAAAACAGUUCUAUGUAUUUCAUUAAAUAGUUAAGGAAAGGAGAGAAACCUGAGAUUUGUCCAACAUGCCAUGCAUUUAAGUAAAUAAUUAAAUAAUUUUAAGUAAAUUGUGCCUUCAUCUUGAGGACCUGGUGGUGUUGGGAUCUUUGCUAUAAAGGUCUCCACCCUGAACUCCCACACCAUGCUCCACAGUUGUGAGCCAAUACACUUUGUAUAUUGUACACCAGAAGCCUAAUUACAUGGUAGUUUUAGGUGCCAUGUCAAAGUGCUCCCCCCCCCCCUUGGGCUUGUCAAUUGGUGGACAAAAUCACUAUGUAGACCAUAGUGUCCUCAGACUUGUGGCAGUCCUCNAGCUUCUGUUUCCUAAUUCUUGGAUUUUAUAGGCUACCAUCCCACCUGACUCANGUGCUUAAGUUGUAGGAAAUACUGAGAGGGUUAGAACUGUAAAAACCUUCAAAGUAUUUUUGUGUUAAAUAUUUUAACUGCAAAGUUAAAGUAGAUAUUUAAGCACCUGAAGUAAUACAGUAAACACUAGGGAAAUUAGCUGUUUAGUAUUUUACUUGUUUAAGAUAUAACUAAAAAGACAAUUGUUAAAAACUGUAAAAAGCAAAUAUUAGAUUAUAAGUGCCUUUUCCAGUUUAGUACCAUAAGCAGGUGAGUUGUUCCAUUAUCUAUUGCCAGGCAAUUUUUAUUAAUCACACCUAAUAUGAUGACAGAUUUUAGUUUGUCAACAAAUGUGAAAUACUUAACCUUUCUGGUGCUAACAUGAGAUGAGAAAGACUUGAUGGUGGUAGUUUAUUUUACCCAGGGAGUUGUUUAUACUUGAGCCACUGAUUAAGGUUACAUGUAGUUCUUGGGUUUUUUUCUCUAAUGGAGGUUUCUUCCAAAUGGAGAUUUUACCUCAAAAAAAGGUUAAAUAGGAAAGUAACUUUUGUUUGUAUUGGGAGAGGAGGCUGGCAUCCCUUGUGCUGGAACGAAAGGUGUGCAGCACUACCAACAGGCUGAAAGUAACUUUUAAACAUCAGACCUAAAAAAAUUACUUUCUCAUGAGUGAAUUAAUCUACAUCUCUUUAAGACUUGAAAGAUAGCAUUACCUUUUUGUAUAGAUUUUAUAUUAAGAUGUUGGUAUAUAGUGAUAGGUUGUAGGGAGAAAGAUGUUAUUAAGAGUAAAANUGUAAAAUACGAUUAUCUUAAAUACUUCAAUGAUAUGAGGCUGAGGGGGGCAUUUUUUCNUUUUUUUAAAUGUAGCUCCUGUGAUGAGUCUGAAUAGUGGGUCUGGCUUCUAGGGGUAGAGUUUGCUAUUAUUAGCCUUCUCUUCCUCAUCUGUUCCAUCUGUGUAGGUGGUGGAACUAAGCUCGUUAAAAUGUGCUUUACAUUUUGUACCAGGAUUCUAGACNAGCUGGGCAUUUUGUCUCUUGGCUGCAAUCCCAGUCCUGGGAAGCUGAGGCAGGAGGAUUGCUAAGUGUUCUAGGGGAGACAUUUGCCUUUUAAAAGUAUGUGCAAACUGGGACUUACUACCUCAGAUUCCUGUAUAAAAUAGGGUAUGCUAGGAGAUGGGGUAAAUUAAGGGGAAACAUUAGGCAUUUUAACUGCCUAAUGCUUUAUUCUGAAACUAGAGAGAUAACUGCUGUUUGUACAAGUAUCUUCCCAGGAGCCUUUCCAGAUCUUCACACCUUAAAAAUUGCCCCCUUACCAAUUGUUGUUUAAGGGAAAAAUAAAAAUAAUAAGACUACUCAUACCCUGUAUUAUACAUUACAUCUAUGUGUAANNNNNNNNNNNNNNNNNNNNNNNNNNNNNNNNNNNNNNNNNNNNNNNNNNNNNNNNNNNNNNN